This 77-nucleotide transfer RNA is filed under the name Chryseobacterium shandongense. Its description in RNAcentral is "tRNA-Met". It matches the Rfam family "tRNA". From Rfam's summary of the family: Transfer RNA (tRNA) molecules are approximately 80 nucleotides in length. Their secondary structure includes four short double-helical elements and three loops (D, anti-codon, and T loops). The record is from RNAcentral. Lineage: Bacteria; Pseudomonadati; Bacteroidota; Flavobacteriia; Flavobacteriales; Weeksellaceae.
GGUCCUAUAGCUCAGUUGGUUAGAGCACCUGACUCAUAAUCAGGUGGUCCUUGGUUCGAGCCCAAGUGGGACCACGA